This 120-nucleotide ribosomal RNA is filed under the name uncultured bacterium. Its description in RNAcentral is "partial 16S ribosomal RNA". It matches the Rfam family "Bacterial small subunit ribosomal RNA", at positions 28 to 146 of the family's 1533-position model. The record is from RNAcentral.
GACGAACGCUGGCGGCGUGCUUAACACAUGCAAGUCGAACGGUGAACCAGGGCUUGCCCUGGGGAUCAGUGGCGAACGGGUGAGUAACACGUGACCAACCUGCCCCUUGCUCUGGGAUAA